This 468-nucleotide ribosomal RNA is filed under the name uncultured bacterium. RNAcentral describes it as "partial 16S ribosomal RNA". It matches the Rfam family "Bacterial small subunit ribosomal RNA", at positions 28 to 507 of the family's 1533-position model. The record is from RNAcentral.
GACGAACGCUGGCGGCGUGCUUAACACAUGCAAGUCGAACGGAAAGGCCCUGCUUUUGUGGGGUGCUCGAGUGGCGAACGGGUGAGUAACACGUGAGUAACCUGCCCUUGACUUUGGGAUAACUUCAGGAAACUGGGGAUAAUACCGGAUAGGAGCUCCUGCUGCAUGGUGGGGGUUGGAAAGUUUCGGCGGUUGGGGAUGGACUCGCGGCUUAUCAGCUUGUUGGUGGGGUAGUGGCUUACCAAGGCUUUGACGGGUAGCCGGCCUGAGAGGGUGACCGGCCACAUUGGGACUGAGAUACGGCGCAGACUCCUACGUGAGGCAGCAGUGGGGAAUAUUGCACAAUGGGCGGAAGCCUGAUGCAGCAACGUCGCGUGCGUGAUGACGGCCUUCGGGGUGUAAACCGCUUUCGCCUGUGACGAAGCGUGAGUGACGGUAAUGGGUAAAGAAGCACCGGCUAACUACGUG